RNAcentral lists this ribosomal RNA (467 nucleotides) under uncultured bacterium. Its description in RNAcentral is "partial 16S ribosomal RNA". It matches the Rfam family "Bacterial small subunit ribosomal RNA", at positions 28 to 507 of the family's 1533-position model. The record is from RNAcentral.
GAUGAACGCUGACAGAAUGCUUAACACAUGCAAGUCAACUUGAAUUUGGGUUUUUAACUUAGGUUUGGGUGGCGGACGGGUGAGUAACGCGUAAAGAACUUGCCUCACAGCUAGGGACAACAUUUGGAAACGAAUGCUAAUACCUAAUAUUAUGAUAAUAGGGCAUCCUAUAAUUAUGAAAGCUAUAAGCGCUGUGAGAGAGCUUUGCGUCCCAUUAGCUAGUUGGAGAGGUAACGGCUCACCAAGGCGAUGAUGGGUAGCCGGCCUGAGAGGGUGAUCGGCAAAAAGGGGACUGAGACACGGCCCUUACUCCUACGGGAGGCAGCAGUGGGGAAUAUUGGACAAUGGACCGAGAGUCUGAUCCAGCAAUUCUGUGUGCACGAUGAAGUUUUUCGGAAUGUAAAGUGCUUUCAGUUGGGAAGAAACAAAUGACGGUACCAACAGAAGAAGUGACGGCUAAAUACGUG